GCCCGGCUAGCUCAAUCGGUAGAGCGUGAGACUCUUAUGUUUCCCGUUCUCUCAGAACGAUUGUGGUACAUCUCAAGGUUGUGGGUUCGACCCCCACGUCGGGCU
Non-coding RNA from Delitschia confertaspora ATCC 74209, 105 nucleotides. Lineage: Eukaryota; Fungi; Ascomycota; Dothideomycetes; Pleosporales; Delitschiaceae. The record is from the annotation of a GenBank genome assembly.